AACGGUCUAUACCUGCGGUACCUGCGGAGGGAUCAUUACCGAGUUAUCAACUCCCAAACCCCUGUGAACAUACCCGAACGUUGCCUCGGCGGGACCGCCCCGGCGCCCCUAGCGGCCCGGAACCAGGCGCCCGCCGGAGGACCCAAACUCUUGCUUUAAACAGUGGCAUACUCUCUGAGUCUCACAAACAAAAAAUAAAUCGAAACUUUCAACAAUGGAUCUCUAGAUCGGAAGAGCACA
This 240-nucleotide unclassified non-coding RNA is filed under the name soil metagenome. Its description in RNAcentral is "partial contains 5.8S ribosomal RNA, internal transcribed spacer 2, and large subunit ribosomal RNA". The record is from RNAcentral.